RNAcentral lists this ribosomal RNA (425 nucleotides) under uncultured bacterium. RNAcentral describes it as "partial 16S ribosomal RNA". It matches the Rfam family "Bacterial small subunit ribosomal RNA", at positions 354 to 796 of the family's 1533-position model. The record is from RNAcentral.
GUGGGGAAUCUUGCGCAAUGGGCGAAAGCCUGACGCAGCCAUGCCGCGUGAAUGAUGAAGGUCUUAGGAUUGUAAAAUUCUUUCACCGGGGACGAUAAUGACGGUACCCGGAGAAGAAGCCCCGGCUAACUUCGUGCCAGCAGCCGCGGUAAUACGAAGGGGGCUAGCGUUGCUCGGAAUUACUGGGCGUAAAGGGCGCGUAGGCGGACAGUUUAGUCAGAGGUGAAAGCCCAGGGCUCAACCUUGGAAUUGCCUUUGAUACUGGCUGUCUUGAGUACGGGAGAGGUGAGUGGAAUUCCGAGUGUAGAGGUGAAAUUCGUAGAUAUUCGGAGGAACACCAGUGGCGAAGGCGGCUCACUGGCUCGAUACUGACGCUGAGGUGCGAAAGCGUGGGGAGCAAACAGGAUUAGAUACCCCGGUAGUCC